This 447-nucleotide ribosomal RNA is filed under the name uncultured bacterium. RNAcentral's name for it is "partial 16S ribosomal RNA". It matches the Rfam family "Bacterial small subunit ribosomal RNA", at positions 328 to 792 of the family's 1533-position model. The record is from RNAcentral.
UCUCCAGACUCCUACGGGAGGCAGCAGUGGGGGAUAUUGCACAAUGGGCGCAAGCCUGAUGCAGCGACGCCGCGUGAGCGAAGAAGUAUUUCGGUAUGUAAAGCUCUAUCAGCAGGGAAGAAAAUGACGGUACCUGACUAAGAAGCUCCGGCUAAAUACGUGCCAGCAGCCGCGGUAAUACGUAGGGGGCAAGCGUUAUCCGGAUUUACUGGGUGUAAAGGGGGCGCAGACGGCGAUGCAAGCCAGGAGUGAAAGCCCGCGGCCCAACCGCGGGACUGCAUUGGGAACUACCGGGCUGGAGUGCCGGAGAGGUAGGCGGAAUUCCUAGUGUAGCGGUGAAAUGCGUAGAUAUUAGGAGGAACACCAGUGGCGAAGGCGGCCUACUGGACGGUGACUGACGCUGAGGCUCGAAAGCGUGGGGAGCAAACAGGAUUAGAUACCCCUGUA